Molecule: ribosomal RNA, 420 nt
Filed under: uncultured bacterium
Lineage: Bacteria
Description: bacterial SSU rRNA
Rfam family: Bacterial small subunit ribosomal RNA
Source: RNAcentral
UAAGGAAUAUUGCUCAAUGGGAGAAAUCCUGAAGCAGCAACGCCGCGUGGAGGAUGAAGGGUCUAUGACUUGUAAACUCCUGUAAAGAAGGAAAAAAUUCCCAUUUGAUGGGAGAUGAUGGUACUUCUGGAGUAAGCCCCGGCUAACUACGUGCCAGCAGCCGCGGUAAUACGUAGGGGGCAAGCGUUGUCCGGAAUUAUUGGGCGUAAAGCGCGCGCAGGCGGCUUAUUAAGUCUGAUGUGAAAGCCCACGGCUCAACCGUGGAGGGCCAUUGGAAACUGGUAGGCUUGAGUGCAGGAGAGGAGAGCGGAAUUCCCGGUGUGGCGGUGAAAUGCGUAGAUAUCGGGAGGAACACCCGUGGCGAAGGCGGCUCUCUGGCCUGUAACUGACGCUGAGGCGCGAAAGCGUGGGGAGCAAACA